Molecule: ribosomal RNA, 800 nt
Filed under: Shigella sonnei
Lineage: Bacteria; Pseudomonadati; Pseudomonadota; Gammaproteobacteria; Enterobacterales; Enterobacteriaceae
Description: partial 23S ribosomal RNA
Rfam family: Bacterial large subunit ribosomal RNA
Source: RNAcentral
UCCUGACUGACCGAUAGUGAACCAGUACCGUGAGGGAAAGGCGAAAAGAACCCCGGCGAGGGGAGUGAAAAAGAACCUGAAACCGUGUACGUACAAGCAGUGGGAGCACGCUUAGGCGUGUGACUGCGUACCUUUUGUAUAAUGGGUCAGCGACUUAUAUUCUGUAGCAAGGUUAACCGAAUAGGGGAGCCGAAGGGAAACCGAGUCUUAACUGGGCGUUAAGUUGCAGGGUAUAGACCCGAAACCCGGUGAUCUAGCCAUGGGCAGGUUGAAGGUUGGGUAACACUAACUGGAGGACCGAACCGACUAAUGUUGAAAAAUUAGCGGAUGACUUGUGGCUGGGGGUGAAAGGCCAAUCAAACCGGGAGAUAGCUGGUUCUCCCCGAAAGCUAUUUAGGUAGCGCCUCGUGAAUUCAUCUCCGGGGGUAGAGCACUGUUUCGGCAAGGGGGUCAUCCCGACUUACCAACCCGAUGCAAACUGCGAAUACCGGAGAAUGUUAUCACGGGAGACACACGGCGGGUGCUAACGUCCGUCGUGAAGAGGGAAACAACCCAGACCGCCAGCUAAGGUCCCAAAGUCAUGGUUAAGUGGGAAACGAUGUGGGAAGGCCCAGACAGCCAGGAUGUUGGCUUAGAAGCAGCCAUCAUUUAAAGAAAGCGUAAUAGCUCACUGGUCGAGUCGGCCUGCGCGGAAGAUGUAACGGGGCUAAACCAUGCACCGAAGCUGCGGCAGCGACGCUUAUGCGUUGUUGGGUAGGGGAGCGUUCUGUAAGCCUGCGAAGGUGUGCUGUGAGGCAUGC